Molecule: ribosomal RNA, 324 nt
Filed under: uncultured eukaryote
Lineage: Eukaryota
Description: partial 18S ribosomal RNA
Rfam family: Eukaryotic small subunit ribosomal RNA
Source: RNAcentral
CCCUUAGAUGCUCUGGGCCGCACGCGCGCUACACUGGUCGAUGCAACGAGUUUCUUUCCUUGGCCGACAGGCCUGGGCAAUCUUUGAACAUCGAUCGUGAUCGGGAUAGAUUCUUGUAAUUUUUGAUCUUAAACGAGGAAUUCCUAGUAAACGCAAGUCAUCAGCUUGCAUUGAUUACAUCCCUGCCCUUUGUACACACCGCCCGUCGCACCUACCGAUUGAAUGGUCCGGUGAAAUCUCCGGACUGGCGUGAGUCGGAGCAAUCUGACAAACACCGGAAAGUUGAUUAAACCUUACCAUUUAGAGGAAGGUGAAGUCGUAACA